Haliotis rubra (blacklip abalone) is the source of this 397-nucleotide long non-coding RNA. RefSeq lists it as uncharacterized. The transcript is spliced from 4 exons. The record is from RefSeq and is a predicted model, not a curated record. Lineage: Eukaryota; Metazoa; Mollusca; Gastropoda; Lepetellida; Haliotidae.
UUUGACAUCCAUCAGGUUUUGCUCAUAGCGAGUUAUACGGACCCUCACGAACAUGACGAGCUGAGAGAGGAUGACGGACAUGCCCCCAGGUGGCGGCCACAUGACGGACUCGAACAUGACGGGUAUGAUGGGCUUCUUCAAGAUGUCGGCCAAGGCCAGUUCACGGUUGCAGUGAUGGGACACCACAUACUUGGGCGUGAUGCAGGAAAUGAACAACUGUGGGGAGACAUGUGACAUUACAUAGGGAACACCAUCAUGAGGUCGACCGAGAGGGAGGUAUUCCCACUGGUCAGGACCCAGUCGGUCAGCAGAGCCAGGGCUGGGUUCAAGUCCUCAUUGAUCUGGUCAAUCCGAGCCUGUUUGUAACCUGCAGGAUAUAUAAACAAGCUAAACUUCA